RNAcentral lists this ribosomal RNA (693 nucleotides) under Staphylococcus aureus. Its description in RNAcentral is "partial 23S ribosomal RNA". It matches the Rfam family "Bacterial large subunit ribosomal RNA", at positions 1514 to 2204 of the family's 2925-position model. Lineage: Bacteria; Bacillati; Bacillota; Bacilli; Caryophanales; Staphylococcaceae. The record is from RNAcentral.
AAGCAGUAAGGCUGAGUAUUAGGCAAAUCCGGUACUCGUUAAGGCUGAGCUGUGAUGGGGAGAAGACAUUGUGUCUUCGAGUCGUUGAUUUCACACUGCCGAGAAAAGCCUCUAGAUAGAAAAUAGGUGCCCGUACCGCAAACCGACACAGGUAGUCAAGAUGAGAAUUCUAAGGUGAGCGAGCGAACUCUCGUUAAGGAACUCGGCAAAAUGACCCCGUAACUUCGGGAGAAGGGGUGCUCUUUAGGGUUAACGCCCAGAAGAGCCGCAGUGAAUAGGCCCAAGCGACUGUUUAUCAAAAACACAGGUCUCUGCUAAACCGUAAGGUGAUGUAUAGGGGCUGACGCCUGCCCGGUGCUGGAAGGUUAAGAGGAGUGGUUAGCUUCUGCGAAGCUACGAAUCGAAGCCCCAGUAAACGGCGGCCGUAACUAUAACGGUCCUAAGGUAGCGAAAUUCCUUGUCGGGUAAGUUCCGACCCGCACGAAAGGCGUAACGAUUUGGGCACUGUCUCAACGAGAGACUCGGUGAAAUCAUAGUACCUGUGAAGAUGCAGGUUACCCGCGACAGGACGGAAAGACCCCGUGGAGCUUUACUGUAGCCUGAUAUUGAAAUUCGGCACAGCUUGUACAGGAUAGGUAGGAGCCUUUGAAACGUGAGCGCUAGCUUACGUGGAGGCGCUGGUGGGAUACUACC